GAGCGUUCACGACUGUGUCGUAAAGUAGGGAACAUGCUUUGCUCCCGAACAGCCCGCCUCGCUGUCUUUACGACAGGCCGUAUUCCACGCCUCCAACAUGGCGUCCCCCAUUUAAGAAGCGGCAGUAGUUUCUACUCAGGUGGCCAGGGGCAGUGCUGAGCUUGGGCUGUUGUGUGUGUAGCCUGAAGUGCUGAAAGCUGUAGUUAAAGUUCGUUUCUAGUCACGGUUCCAGGAACUCUCCCUUCUUUCAGGGUCAGGAGUUGCCGGUUCCUUCUAGUUCCUGCAAGUUCUUCCUCUGCCCCUGGUUUGUUCCCUGCGCCACCUCCGGACACCCCCCAAAUCCCUGACACUCCCAGACUCAAACUAUGAGCCUUCGGCGGCUGCUGUUGCGCUUACCCCGUUAUCUCGGGGUCUCGGGUUCCCCGCGAUGCUUGUGGUGGUCCCCGUUCCUCGAUACCAUCUCUUCGGUGGGCUCCUGGCGUGGUCAGUCCUCCAGGUCCCCGGCCCACUGGAACCAAGUAGUGUCAGAGGCGGAGAAGAUCGUGGGCUAUCCCACGUCCUUCAUGAGCCUCCGCUGCCUGCUCAGCGACGAACUCAGCAACAUCGCUAUGCAGGUGCGGAAGUUGGUGGGGACUCAACACCCUCUGCUUACCACGGCCAGCACUUUUCAUACAUCAUUCCACUGCCUUCUGGCCUCCAUUGUUUCUGGGGGCUUGUACAUGAGAGCCGGCAUAACCUCCAGUUGAGGGGCUUGGUGGUGUUACUUAUUUCUAAAGCAGCUGGGCCCAGCAGCAUGAAUGCAUCAUGUCAGAACUAUGAUAUGGUCAGUGGGAUCUAUUCAUGUCAAAGAAGUUUGGCAGAGAUCACAGAACUUAUCCACACUGCUCUCCUCGUACAUCGUGGGAUAGUAAAUUUAAGUGAAUUGCAAUCCUCUGAUGGACCACUGAAAGACAUGCAAUUUGGAAAUAAAAUAGCUAUCCUGAGUGGAGACUUUCUUCUAGCAAAUGCCUGCAACGGACUAGCUCUGCUACAGAACACCAAGGUUGUGGAACUUUUAGCAAGUGCUCUUAUGGACUUGGUGCAGGGAAUAUACCAUGAAAAUUCUACUUCAACAAAGGAAAAUCAUAUCACAGAAGAUAUUGGAAUAUCAACUUGGAAGGAACAGACUUUUCUCUCCCAUGGUGCCUUAUUAGCAAAGAGCUGCCAGGCUGCAAUGGAAUUAGCAAAGCAUGAUGCUGACGUUCAGGAUAUGGCAUUUCAGUAUGGGAAGCACAUGGCCAUGAGUCAUAAGAUAAAUUCUGACCUCCAGCCUUUUAUUAAGGAAAAGACCAGUGACUCCAUAACUUUUAAUCUCAACUCAGCUCCUGUGGUCUUACAUCAGGAGUUUCUUGGAAGAGACUUGUGGAUUAAGCAGAUCAGAGAGGCUCAAGAGAAGGGAAGAUUAGACUAUGCUAAGUUGCGAGAAACAAUCAAAGCUGGCAAAGGUGUGACUUCAGCUAUUGACCUGUGUCGUUACCAUGGAAACAAGGCACUGGAGGCCCUGGAGAGCUUUCCUCCCUCGGAGGCCAGAUCUGCUUUAGAAAACAUUGUGUUUGCUGUGACCAGAUUUUCGUGACACCAAAUUAAAAAGACACUAUUGUUCGUUAGCUGAAAAAAAACUGGGGAAUGAGGUGAUCGAGAGAGCUUUCAUGAUGAAAUAACUAAAUGUGUUAAUGACUUUAAAAACAUAAUACAUUUUUUCCUUCCUUUUAUCACAUUGCUAAAUGAAUACUGCCUUCUUUUUGGAACUGCUACAAACAAAAUUAGAAGAAAAAAAGGUCAAGCAGUUUUCACUUGUCACGCCAGAGCACACUUGAGGCUGCAGUAGCAGAAAUAAUUAAUGAGAUUCGCUCCUGUGACCUCAGCAAAUGGACAGGAAAUAAGUCCUUAUUGAUUGGACCGAGCCAGGGAUGGCGCCAGGGCGGUGGCCUGUGGUUUUCUUUCUAGAGAGGACAGAGCAAGCUGGAAGCUGCAGGUGUCAAGAGAAACACUAUCACUGCCAGCCGGAGAGGACUGUCAGAUCAAAAACUAGUGACCAAUCUGACAUAAUGGAGGGUCGUUCAGUAAUUAAGGAAAAAAAAAAAAAAAGUGCUUUGUCUUCUUGCAAUUAUGUCUCUGCAUUUGCAGCUGAGGGAGAAAUGUGGGGCACCAAGACAUGCUUUAAUCACUCCCCUUGGCCUGUCUCCUGGGUGCAGGCUCUGCUGACUAGGGCAAUAAUCGGACCGGAGGGAUGGAAAUAUGAAUGCAAUGGCCAAGUCUCCAAGGAACAGCAAAAUUAAAUUAGGCGCAUUUUUUAGAAGUAAAAGGGAAGGCACGUUCCUACAGUGACAGAAGUUUUGCAAGAAUGCUUGGACUUGGGCUGUAGCAGAGGAAGCCACCUUGUCAGCAGAACAUUCACUCUGGGACCCAGUACUUCUGGGAUGCUAGGACUGAGACCAGAACACGUGGAUGAAGGGGAGCCCGGUGACAGGAGUAAAUCCAGACUUUCACACCAGCUCUGCAGGACUCACAGAUACUCCAGGGUGACUUUUGCUCUGUAGGCCAUCGUGACGACUCAGGUUUUAGUCUGUGGGAGGGAGAAAGAGCUACAAAAGCAAUAGAUGCUCAAUAACGGGGAAAAAAAUAAAAUCCAACAUGACACAAAGGUAUCAUGUGAAAAAGUAAACAUCCCUCUCCUCCCUACCAUCCUCUACCUCAGGGGAAACCACUGUUACCCCUGUGUCUUCCAGGACUUUUCUAUUUACGCUGAAAUAUAUGUACGUGUUUUUCUUUUUCUUACAAAAAUUGGAUUACGUUAUGUUAUGUAGUAGGGGCACAGGGAUACAAGAACACCUGGCUCCGGGGGCUCCCAAACAGACCAGGUCCGGCCCCUCGCUGCUGACAAAAUUCAAAGGCAGAGAAACUAGCAGUGGUGAAACAAGAGGAAUUUAUUUCUGUGAGGCCAACGCCGGGAAGACAGUGGACUGCACCCCAAAGACCGUCUCCAACGUGCUGAAAAUACUUCCAGGUUUACAGAAGGAAAAUGUGGGGCAAAGGUGUGCGGGUACUGUAGGCAGGAAGUGAAGGUCAAAUCGAUCAUUGUCCUGGAGCAAUCACGGGUGGGGUCUUGUAGGCUCCGGGCAGCCCUUUUUGCUUCAGGCGAUAAUUUCAGUUCUCUUCCCGGGAUGCUUUGCCCUCAGGGUCUGCUACCUGAGCCGGAGACAAACUGGGAAGAACCCAGCUGGGAAGUCUCCGGUCAAAAUGGAGGCAGCCGAAGUCCUCUUUCAAAUAGAUCUCUAAUUUUCUUCUACUCACUAAGUAUGGCAAAGACAUUCUUCUGUACCCAUAAGAAAGAGUACUUUUCCUCUUUCUAAAGCCUACAGAGUAUGCCAUAGCAUGUGUCAUUCAUUUAGCAACUUUUCAAAUUCUCUCCCAUUUUCUUGCUAACAUGAAUGAUCCUGCAAUGAACAUCCUUGUAAAUGUAGCUUUGGUUGAGUGUUUCCCCAGGGAAAGUGGAAUCACUGGAUCUCGAGUUCAUUUCUAUGAGGUGUUUCAUUGUACAGAAAAUAUUUUAGGUCAAAUAAGACAAAAAAAAAAAAAGCGUGUGUGUAUACCAUUUCAUUUAAAGAAUCUUUUGACCCACAGCAUAAAAUAAUUUCUUAAAACUUGGCUGGUUACUAGAGUAGUAUGUCUCCUUUUUCUUCUUUUUUUAAUGGGUUCUGAUUGGCUGGGAAACCAGCCUCGCCUAGUUCCUUGCUUCCUGCCUGUUGCUGCAUCUGUAUGAUCAGUGUGGGGACUCUUGACUGCAAGCCCUUGGGCAGCCCUCUGGGCGCGGGGGCCCUGGUGGCUGCAACGCCUCCAGCCAGCACUCUGGGCUGAGAAUGAGCUAUAGUUCGGAUUGGCAUUUGUUUUCUCAAGGGCUUGAAACUGAGAGUGGGAUCGCAGCAAUUUUCACUCUCCCUAACAUUUCUUCUCGCAGAAUCCUAUUGUGCAAGCCAGAUAUUCAACUAAAAUCAGAUACUAAUGGCUGUGUUGGGUCCUUAAAAUCUCAAGCCGCUAUAAAUUAUUAAAUAGUUCUUCAACACCGAAGGAGAACUGCCCAGCACAAAUUCUCUGCAGCUUUUUCAUUCAAAACUUAUUUUUUACCUCCACAUUGGGUCAUUUACUGGUUCCGGAUUCCACUAAAAGUAGUUCCCCUCCCCCCAACAUCCCUUCCCCUCCCCACCCUGCCCCCAGAAUACAAGGGGUUAAACUUAACUCCCCAGGCUUAAUUUCCCAAACAAAAGCCAGUUUUGCAAGUUAUUUUUCAAGGUGUGUCUUUCCACAAGUUCUAUUUAAUAAAGUUAAUACAUGUUCCUGCUUCCUUUCUUUUUUUCCUUCUUUUUUGUUGUCAGUAUUCACGGAAUCUGGAUCUGUCAGCUACUUCUGUUUGAAGUUGAAGAAUUGGCAAAAUUAUACAUCCAGCAGGCAAGAAAUAAAGUGGAAAUGUCUCACAAGUAACAGUGAAAUCUGUUGCGUUGUUUUAAGACUUAACUACUGAGGGAAAAAAAAAAAGCCCUACUAAAUAUUGUCUUGGCAACUAUAAAUAUAUUUUAGCGAUGAUAAAAACCUUUAGAAUAACAGUUCAAAGAUAUCUGAAACCUAAUGCCUGUCUGUCUGCCACUCUUAAUUAUAUAUAUUUACAUUGUAUAUAUAUCCCAUUCUUCAUUAAAUGCUGUGCAAUUUUC
Molecule: RNA transcript, 4745 nt
Organism: Herpailurus yagouaroundi (jaguarundi)
Lineage: Eukaryota; Metazoa; Chordata; Mammalia; Carnivora; Felidae
Gene: PDSS2
Gene name: decaprenyl diphosphate synthase subunit 2
Exons: 12
Source: RefSeq, a predicted model, not a curated record